Molecule: ribosomal RNA, 96 nt
Filed under: Salmo salar (Atlantic salmon)
Lineage: Eukaryota; Metazoa; Chordata; Actinopteri; Salmoniformes; Salmonidae
Also listed under: 1 other name
Source: RNAcentral
GCUUGUGGCCAUACCACCCUGAACAUGCCUGUUCAGGUUCGGGUCUGGUUAGUACUGGGGCGGGAGACUUCCUGGGAAUACCAGGUGCCGUAAACU